Molecule: long non-coding RNA, 281 nt
Filed under: Hordeum vulgare
Lineage: Eukaryota; Viridiplantae; Streptophyta; Magnoliopsida; Poales; Poaceae
Description: long non-coding RNA (HVUL_LNC010499)
Source: RNAcentral
UGAACUGUGGGUAGAACCCGGUUAUUGCAUUGGUUCGGCCACAACUGCGAGUCUGCGAGCAAGCCCGCACGGCUGCACCACCUUCUCCUCCUUCUCGACUCGGCCGCCGCACGCACAAGCUCCUCCCCGCCGGGCGCCGGCCGCAACACGCCCGCACCACCUCCUCCCCUGCUGGAGCGCGUGAGAAGGGCCGCUGCACGCAGGUCUCCUCCCCUGCUGGAGCGCGUGAGAAGGGCCGCUGCACGCAGGUACUCCCUCCAUCUUCCACCUCCCACCCUGAU